AACGAACGCUGGCGGCAUGCCUAACACAUGCAAGUCGAACGAGAACUUCGGGUCUAGUGGCGCACGGGUGCGUAACGCGUGGGAACCUGCCCUUAGGUUCGGAAUAACUCCCCGAAAGGGGUGCUAAUACCGGAUAAUGUCUUCGGACCAAAGAUUUAUCGCCUUUGGAUGGGCCCGCGUUGGAUUAGCUAGUUGGUAGGGUAAAAGCCUACCAAGGCGACGAUCCAUAGCUGGUCUGAGAGGAUGAUCAGCCACACUGGGACUGAGACACGGCCCAGACUCCUACGGGAGGCAGCAGUGGGGAAUAUUGGACAAUGGGCGAAAGCCUGAUCCAGCAAUGCCGCGUGAGUGAUGAAGGCCUUAGGGUUGUAAAGCUCUUUUACCCGGGAUGAUAAUGACAGUACCGGGAGAAUAAGCGCCGGCUAACUCCGUG
RNAcentral lists this ribosomal RNA (433 nucleotides) under uncultured bacterium. RNAcentral describes it as "partial 16S ribosomal RNA". It matches the Rfam family "Bacterial small subunit ribosomal RNA", at positions 29 to 507 of the family's 1533-position model. The record is from RNAcentral.